RNAcentral lists this ribosomal RNA (461 nucleotides) under uncultured bacterium. RNAcentral describes it as "bacterial SSU rRNA". It matches the Rfam family "Bacterial small subunit ribosomal RNA", at positions 28 to 490 of the family's 1533-position model. The record is from RNAcentral.
GACGAACGCUGGCGGCGUGCUUAAUACAUGCAAGUCAACUUGACUUUAGAUAGCAAUAUCGAAAAGUAGGGUGGCGCACGGGUGCGUAACGCGUAGGUAAUCUGCCCUGAGGUCUGACAUAACCCGUCGAAAGGCGGGCUAACAUCAGAUGAUAUAUAAUCACGACAUCGUGGAAAAUAUCAAAUCUUCGGAGCCUUGGGAUGAGCCUGCGUCUGAUUAGGUAGUUGGCGGAGUAAUAGCCCACCAAGCCUACGAUCAGUAGCUGGUCUGAGAGGAUGAUCAGCCACACUGGAACUGAGACACGGUCCAGACUCCUACGGGAGGCAGCAGUAAGGAAUAUUGCUCAAUGGGGAAACCCUGAAGCAGCAACGCCGCGUGAAGGAUGAAAUACUUUGUAUGUAAACUUCUGUAAGAUGGGAAAAUAUUCUCCUCGGGAGAAUUGAUUGUACCAUCAGAGUAAG